RNAcentral lists this long non-coding RNA (203 nucleotides) under Elaeis guineensis (African oil palm). Its description in RNAcentral is "long non-coding RNA (EGUI_LNC030589)". The record is from RNAcentral. Lineage: Eukaryota; Viridiplantae; Streptophyta; Magnoliopsida; Arecales; Arecaceae.
ACCUUGUCUUUGCUAGACUUUGGCCAUGAUUUCAUCGGUCAUGGUGAUGGUUAAUUAGGAACAAGAAAGAGAAAUAGAAAGAGAAAGAUGGUGAGAGAGAGAGGGAUCUCGAUGGCUUUUUGGCGGUGGAUGCUUAUAGAUGGGAAGAGGGUCUCUUCUUAUAAAGGAGCCCUAGAGUUUGACUCCAACUCCAAUUCCAUCGG